AUUCCUUUAGUAUUAAUAAGUACAGUUGACUUCCAAUCAAUCAGUUUCGGCAUAACCCGAAAAGGAAUA
This 69-nucleotide transfer RNA is filed under the name Otocolobus manul (Pallas's cat). RNAcentral's name for it is "tRNA-Gly". Lineage: Eukaryota; Metazoa; Chordata; Mammalia; Carnivora; Felidae. The record is from RNAcentral.